This 129-nucleotide small nucleolar RNA is filed under the name Myotis davidii. Its description in RNAcentral is "Small nucleolar RNA SNORA38". It matches the Rfam family "Small nucleolar RNA SNORA38". From Rfam's summary of the family: ACA38 is a member of the H/ACA class of snoRNA that guide the sites of modification of uridines to pseudouridines. The record is from Rfam by way of RNAcentral. Lineage: Eukaryota; Metazoa; Chordata; Mammalia; Chiroptera; Vespertilionidae.
CCCUCCUACAAAGGCGUACUGUGGUUCCCUGUCUUUGGACACAGAAAAACUGAGGCAAAGAAAUGUGGACUUGGAGAAAUCUGGAGUCAGCUUGCUCCCUGCAGCCUCAAGAUCAACCACCCCACAUAG